This 459-nucleotide long non-coding RNA is filed under the name Androctonus crassicauda. The record is from RNAcentral. Lineage: Eukaryota; Metazoa; Arthropoda; Arachnida; Scorpiones; Buthidae.
GGAUGAGGCUGAGUGUGUGGAACCUGUGGCGAGGGGUUUCCGGCCAACGAUGGUGGAGUCCCUUGAGAUGGUGGGUGGAUCGCGAAUGGAGGGUUUGGUGAGCGAUGGACUGGCUUGGGGGCCCUCAAUGGCGUGGAGGUGUGGCAUGUGUGGUGGGAGGGGGGAAAGGAGUGAAAUGGAAGCAUUACUGGAAGGGAUGGCCAGUUGGAGGGGAGAUCGGGAGCGGUGGGAGAGGAGGAGCGCGAGGAUUGUGAGCAGGGACGGAGGAGUGGUGCUUUGCGACAUAGAGCACAAUGGGAUAAUGAGGGUUGUUUGGUUUCUGGAAUAUAGGAUUGUCUCCAUAUGAUUGUUAUUGUGAGUUGUAGUAUUGUAUAAAUGACUAGGUUGUCAUGGAUGCGUGAAUCACGAUUCGAGCUUGUUGUGUUUUUAAUUUAAGUUUAAAGUUGUUCUGUUCUAUUU